CCUACGGGACGCAGCAGUAGGGAAUCUUCCACAAUGGGCGCAAGCCUGAUGGAGCAACGCCGCGUGUGUGAUGAAGGCUUUCGGGUCGUAAAGCACUGUUGUAUGGGAAGAACGGGUUUAAGAGGAAAUGCUUAAACAGUGACGGUACCAUACCAGAAAGGGACGGCUAAAUACGUGCCAGCAGCCGCGGUAAUACGUAUGUCCCGAGCGUUAUCCGGAUUUAUUGGGCGUAAAGCGAGCGCAGACGGUUGCUUAAGUCUGAAGUGAAAGCCCACAGCUCAACUGUGGAAUGGCCUUGGAAACUGGGCAACUUGAGUGCAGUAGAGGUAAGUGGAACUCCAUGUGUAGCAGUGGAAUGCGUAGAUAUAUGGAAGAACACCAGUGGCGAAGGCGGCUUACUGGACUGCCACUGACGUUGAGGCUCAAAAGUGUGGGUAGCAAACAGGAUUAGAUACCCGUGUAGUC
RNAcentral lists this ribosomal RNA (465 nucleotides) under uncultured bacterium. RNAcentral's name for it is "bacterial SSU rRNA". It matches the Rfam family "Bacterial small subunit ribosomal RNA", at positions 338 to 795 of the family's 1533-position model. The record is from RNAcentral.